GUGUCAGCAGCCGCGGUAAUACGGAGGAGGCAAGCGUUAUCCGGAAUUAUUGGGCGUAAAGCGUCCGCAGGUGGCUCGCUCAAGUCUGCUGUCAAAGACCGGGGCUUAACUCCGGAAAGGCAGUGGAAACUGACAAGCUAGAGGGCUCUAGGGGUAGAGGGAAUUCCCGGUGUAGCGGUGAAAUGCGUAGAGAUCGGGAAGAACAUCGGUGGCGAAAGCGCUCUACUGGAGAGCAACGGACACUCAGGGACGAAAGCAAGGGGAGCGAAUGGGAUUAGAUACCCCAGUAGUCCUAGCUGUAAACGAUGGAUACUAGGCGUUGCUUGUAUCGACCCAAGCAGUGCCGUAGCUAACGCGUUAAGUAUCCCGCCUGGGGAGUACGCACGCAAGUGUGAAACUCAAAUGAAUUGACGGGG
This 416-nucleotide ribosomal RNA is filed under the name uncultured prokaryote. Its description in RNAcentral is "bacterial SSU rRNA". It matches the Rfam family "Bacterial small subunit ribosomal RNA", at positions 505 to 918 of the family's 1533-position model. The record is from RNAcentral.